Molecule: ribosomal RNA, 722 nt
Filed under: Pseudomonas fragi
Lineage: Bacteria; Pseudomonadati; Pseudomonadota; Gammaproteobacteria; Pseudomonadales; Pseudomonadaceae
Description: bacterial SSU rRNA
Rfam family: Bacterial small subunit ribosomal RNA
Source: RNAcentral
UCGGGCCUUGCGCUAUCAGAUGAGCCUAGGUCGGAUUAGCUAGUUGGUGAGGUAACCUUGGCUCACCAAGGCUACGAUCCGUAACUGGUCUGAGAGGAUGAUCAGUCACACUGGAACUGAGACACGGUCCAGACUCCUACGGGAGGCAGCAGUGGGGAAUAUUGGACAAUGGGCGAAAGCCUGAUCCAGCCAUGCCGCGUGUGUGAAGAAGGUCUUCGGAUUGUAAAGCACUUUAAGUUGGGAGGAAGGGCAUUAACCUAAUACGUUGGUGUCUUGACGUUACCGACAGAAUAAGCACCGGCUAACUCUGUGCCAGCAGCCGCGGUAAUACAGAGGGUGCAAGCGUUAAUCGGAAUUACUGGGCGUAAAGCGCGCGUAGGUGGUUUGUUAAGUUGAAUGUGAAAUCCCCGGGCUCAACCUGGGAACUGCAUCCAAAACUGGCAAGCUAGAGUAUGGUAGAGGGUAGUGGAAUUUCCUCUGUAGCGGUGAACUGCGUAGAUAUAGGAAGGAACACCAGUGGCGAAGGCGACUACCUGGACUGAUACUGAGGCUGAGGUGCGUUCGAAGCGUGGGGAGCAAACAGGAUUAGAUACCCUGGUAGUCCACGCCGUAAACGAUGUCAACUAGCCGUUGGGAGUCUUGAACUCUUAGUGGCGCAGCUAACGCAUUAAGUUGACCGCCUGGGGAGUACGGCCGCAAGGUUAAAACUCAAAUGAAUUGAC